AGAGUUUGAUCCUGGCUCAGAACGAACGCUGGCGGCAGGCCUAACACAUGCAAGUCGAACGCCCCGCAAGGGGAGUGGCAGACGGGUGAGUAACACGUGGGAACAUACCCUCCGGUUCGGAAUAACUCAGGGAAACUUGAGCUAAUACCGGAUACGUCCUGGCGGAGAAAGAUUCAUCGCCGGAGGAUUGGCCCGCGUCCGAUUAGCUAGUUGGUGAGGUAACGGCUCACCAAGGCGACGAUCGGUAGCUGGUCCGAGAGGAUGAUCAGCCACAUUGGGACUGAGACACGGCCCAAACUCCUACGGGAGGCAGCAGUGGGGAAUAUUGGACAAUGGGCGCAAGCCUGAUCCAGCCAUGCCGCGUGAGUGAUGAAGGCCUUAGGGUUGUAAAGCUCUUCGUCAGGGACGA
Molecule: ribosomal RNA, 409 nt
Filed under: uncultured bacterium
Lineage: Bacteria
Description: bacterial SSU rRNA
Rfam family: Bacterial small subunit ribosomal RNA
Source: RNAcentral